RNAcentral lists this long non-coding RNA (12100 nucleotides) under Citrus maxima (pomelo). RNAcentral describes it as "long non-coding RNA (CMAX_LNC001495)". The record is from RNAcentral. Lineage: Eukaryota; Viridiplantae; Streptophyta; Magnoliopsida; Sapindales; Rutaceae.
CUUCGCUCAAUGCUUCUUUCAGCAAACCAGCUUCAAAGAAAUUAGAAGAAUCAUUCGGCUGCCUCUGCCUAAAGAAAUAAAAGCCGGGAAUGUGAGCUGCCCGCGGCAAUAGGUCCAGUACAGAACUUUGUAGGCAAUGCUUUGGCGUUUCCUGGGCAGGGCGUACCGUUGUUGACUUUUCUAUUUGGAUUUCCAUUGUAUCAGAAUGAAUUAUGUCAAUGAGAUCACCACCUGUGAAUCAAUGAAUCUGAUGAUCGGAACAGAAAAUAAGAUGAUAGAUGUAGCAAAUCGAACUGAUAGGUUGAUUGCAAGUAAAACUCACAAGUUUUUGAUGCUGCAAUAUCUUUGACGACCUGGUACAAACUCAAAAUUGAGUGAAAACUAAAAUUUUUAGAGUGUUUUGAUGCUUAGGAAUGAGUCCGAAGCUUGCUCUGUAUUCUUUUUUCCUGCCUUGCUUUUUAUAAGUGAUUGUUUAUCGUUCUCUUGCAUUAUUGCAUUGUUUAUUAUUCUAAAAAAAUGUCUCACUACAUGUUAAACAAUUUUAGCCACAUGAAUAUUAAAAGACUGAACUCGCUUUCAUUGACUUAGAUCUCCCAUAGGCUACAGACAUGAGGCGUGAUACUAAAGGAAAGCUAACCCACACUAUGCUGUUAAAAAUAGUAAUAAAAAUAAAAAAUUAAACCUUGAUUAAAUUUUACAAAACUGCAGGAGUGCAAUAUUAUAUAGCUCACGUGCUUUGUCAUUUGAGAUUCCCCGAAUUUGGAUGGAGAAUGAUGUUCCAUCAAGAAUUUUAUAACCUGUAAUUUUCUUUUUUGAAAGUUUAUUAUUAUUGUUAUUGUUCCAAAAGAUAAAAUAAUGAAAUAAUCACUCAGUAUUAAAAACAAAAUUUUUAAUUUUUUUCUUGGGUUAAUUCCGUCCUGCCCCCAAAUGUUUCAACAUUUUCCACCGCGUCCCCAAAUGUUUCAACAAUGCUCACUCCACACCCAAAUCCGUUAUUUUGACCGUUUAUUCUAACGGUCAAAGAGCAAAUUUAGAAGUUCACGGCCUAAAUAUUAUUUAAUGAUGAUAAAUUAAAUUUAUUUGAUAAUUUAAUUGAUGGGAUUAUUAUUAAUUACCUUUAAAUAAAAAUUUUUAAUGUAAAUAUUAAUUAUUAAAUUAGUAUUUUAUCUCAUUUUAUUCUUCUUUAAUUCAAGAUAAGGGGUAUUUCGGACAUUUACUUAAAAUUCAAAUAGUUCCGAUAAACAUAACGGUCAAAUUAACGGAAUUGGGUGUGGAGUAAGCAUUGUCGAAACAUUUGGGUGCGCGACAGAAAAUGUCAAAACAUUUGGGGGCUAGGUGGAAAUAACCCUUUUUUCUUUUACUUUUCCUUUUCCUUUUUUCUUUAUGAUUUUUACCGACCAAAGAUUAAUAAAAGCUAAAUAUUAGCUAUCACUUCACCGUCCAACUACUUUUGACCACAUUUAUAGAGUCAAUUUUUUUUAAUUUAUUCUCCUAAUAUACGAAGGUAAGAAAUUUUAUUUAUUAUUAAAUUAUCAAACGUUAUUGAUUAUUGCUUAUCUUAUUAAUAUUUUUAAAAUUUUCAUAUAUGGUUAGGGUUUGUUUCGGCUAUUCAUAUUAAUUCUCUUAGUCUCGUAGGCAAUAAAUUUGGAGUAGAUAUCGCUUAUGUUGCAUAAGAAAUUAAAAGAAGAAAUUGCUCGUGUGCUUAAGAAAAAUUUCCUCUACAAAUUGAUACAAGCUCAAAGUUAUGCUAUUGAGUUUCCGAUGAGCUUAAUUUAUUGUCGAUAUUUUCUACUAAUAAUAUUUUUUAAAAAUAAAAAAGAUGAACAAUAUUUAAUAUUUAAUUUAUUUAAACAUGUUAAUUAAGUACUUGAGACCAUUUUAAUACUUUUAAACUCUAAAUUAUACUCUUUUAGUAGAAUACAUAGCUUGUAUUUGAGUUAUAUUUUUUAGUUUUAAAUAUAAUUAUUUUUUUUAGAAUAACUAUUUUUUUUAAAAGACUCCUAAUAUUCUAGUCAUUUUAGGACUGCAGCGGCUGAUAAAAUAAGUUACUUUUACUAUACAUAUGAAAUAACUUGCUGAUUAAAAAAUUAGCUUGGUGUUUCCUAAACUGUAUUGUUGUGGUUGCUUUGAGUUUGAAAAGCAGAGUAAUAAAAUUUAUUUUAAAAGUGUUAUUUUAUUAUAUAAUGACAAAAAUAGAUACAAGUUUAAUUUCGUUUUGCUUUUUAGAGUAUGUUUAAUCAAUUGUAACAUGACUUUUUUUUUUUUUUUUAGAACACAUAAAAUUACAUAAAGUGAAAAGAAAAACUCAAUUAAUAAGCUUCAUAAUCUGUUAUAUAAAAUGUAAUAAAAAUUCAUACUAAUACAUAAUUCAAAUAAAAUAGAAACAUUUGCAUUAAACUUGUUAUAAUAAUAAUCCUCAGACUUUCUAUUUCUUGUGAUUCAGAACCGUGAGGAUUGUGAUACUUUUUUUAAGUGUUAUUGUCUCCUUCUAUUAAAAAAUUGAAUUAGGAUUAUUUUUAAUAUUGUCAAGAUGAAGAUCACCUUGGACAUACCUCCUUAUAUAAUUGUGUAAUGACAUAGGUGCAAUAAUGUUAAUUUUUAGUUAAGUAAUUUGAUUGUGGUGGUAACAUGAUCUAUUGUGUUUUAUAUAUUAAAGGUUAUGAAAAAAUAAGAUAUUAUUAUAUUUUUGUUAAAAUAUUAAGAUAAUAAUAGAAAAUUUAGAAAUAUGUGGUUAUUUAUUUAAUAAAUUGUAUAUAAAAAGUAAUUAUUUACUUACUUUUAAAAUUUGCUCUCAAAAUGAAAAAGAAAAUGAAAAAAAGUAACUCUUACAAAAUUUAUCAAAUAUUAUUUUUAUUCAUUAAAUAAGUAAGUUAUUGAGUUUCAAUUUCGGUACUAAAUGUGGCUUAAGGUCUAUUUUAAUCAUUUCAACUUAUAGACUUUGAUGUUCACUUUAUAAUAUAAAAUUUUAAAAAAAAUCUUAGUGAGGGAUGCUUUAAGAUACUGGGUCCACUCCUGCGUGAGCGGAAAUCACGCUGAUUCUCUAGCAUAUGAGGAAAUCAUGAUGAUCUCCCAAAUUAACGUGAUAUCUGCUGAUUGAUUGUUGAUGAGAUUCUCUUCUCACCUAAUUUCUAACAAUUUUAAGUGAACCCGCGGCGGUUGAUCAUAAUUAGUAUUUGCAUGCGGGAACCAUGUGAUUUCCUUAGAAAAUAUUCGAAAUUUUUAUAAAAUCGAGGUGCCAGUAGUUAAAUCCCCAAGAACUGCUCACGCUGGAUAGUAGGUCCUAUUACAAUCAACGGGUAUUUACAAUAUAAAUUAUAUUAGCCGCCGUCUAAACCUAUACAUAUUUAGAGUAAGGAUUGGCUUUGCCCAUACUUUAGCCAAGUUGGCUUUGAAUAUUGAUUAACAUAUCACGUGGUUGGGUACAUGCCCACCGAAUCUUUUGUAGCUUUUCGUUUAAUUAAUGAAAGUUUUCUUUUUGUAUCUUUUUAUAUAUAUCGAACAUAAUUUAAAAAUUUUAUGCUUUUUAGGGUGAGAUCUCUCUAUUUCAUAUUCGAGAUAAAUUUAUUCUUACUUUUACUAAGGAAGAUUUAAGGUCGGAAAUAAUAUUAUUGAUGAAAAAAUUGAUUUCUACGGAUAUGAUGAAAUAAGUUACUAAUUAUUAAAAAAUAACUUAACAUUUGGUAAAUUAUAUUAUUUUAGUUGUUGUGAGUUUAAAAAAUAGAGUACACGUGUUUGAUAAAUUUUAUUAUAUAAAUAUUAUUUUAUUGUAUAAUAACCAAAAUAAACAUAAAUUUAAAUGACCUUUUUUAUAUUAAGAUUUACCAAAAAAAAAAAGAAGAAAACAUAAUUAUCUUUUUGUUAAAAUACUAAUAUCAUAAUAAGAACUUCAAAAUUAUGUUAUUUAAUUAACUACUUACAAAAAGUAACUCUUUCAUAUUUUUAAAAGUUGCUUAUUUUAUAAAUAAAUUUAAAAAAUAAGCAACUUUUAAAAAAUUACUAAAUACUACUUUUAGCAAAAUCUAUUAAAUAAACCCUCUUGCAACGUUUUAAUCUAAAUCUCGAAUGAGGUUCAAGUCUCUAACCACCCCUAUCUAUUAUAAUGGGACGAGAUUUUAAAUUGAGCUUGUUGCUGUUGGUAAGGGCAGAAAUUCACUACUAAGCUAUAAGUUGUACAAGAGAUUCUUUUUUUUUUCCCCCAAUGGCAGCACGAUAUAUUCUUAAUUAACUAAAAUUCCUAAAAUCAUAUUGAGCAAAUUAAACUCUAUCCCCGAGAACCCACGUAGUACAAUUAAAACUAAAGUCUAAAGCAUAAGUUAAAAGAAAAAUAUUAAUUAAAGGGAUAAAGAGCUAACAAAAUGUUAAUAAAACAACGAUAAACCACAAUUGAUUUAUUGUAGUUUAAUUAAGUGAGCAAACUGGCUCCUUGAUUUUAGUGAGUGUUUAUCUUAUCUUUUUUUUUUUUUUUAAUGUUAAAAUCCAAAUGAAGCAACAGUCUAAAAUAAUGAAUACGUGAAAACUGAUGGCGCAGGAAACCAUUGGGAAAUUGGGAUGGUGCCAAAGUAUGUUCCUCUUUGAGUAAUAAAUUGAAAAAUAAGAAGCAAAUAUUAUUUAACAAAAUGUUAUGUGUAGGGAAUUCUAUUAAACCGAAUUAUUGGAUUUUUUUUUUUUAAUCUGAAUGAUGAUUGGGUGAUGGAUUGUCUAGUGAAUUGUCGUCCUCUAAUUUGACAACAAACAUACAUGAUAGGCGAUUGUCGAUCGCCUAAAGUUUUAGAUUGGUUUUAAUAAAAAAUAUUAAUUUUGAUCGUUUGAAUAGACAUCAUUUUUAUCUGUGUCUCAUUAUUAUAUUUAACACGUAGCACGAUGAGGCUGGCCCGCUAGCAGCUAUCAAGUGACCCCUCACCUAUGCUAUAUUCUACCAUUUUUUUACGCUCUCCUCCAAUGAAAUUUCUAAGUUUUCUAAUUAAAUGUUAUAAACCCCAUGAUCUGGAUCCCUUGUGACAAAAGAAAGAAACCCAGAGCCGCUUUUAUUCUUGUGCUGAAAUAAAUCGCAGAAUUUCUGUUUCAUAUGUGUCAUUUGCUUUACACUUCCUAAUAAAUUUUCUGUAUUUUUUCAUAAAGAGAAGAAUUUCUUUUGAGUUACAACAAAACAUGUUUUUUUACGGAACCUGACUUCUACCUUUAUAUAUAUAUAUAUUUAAAAAAAAAAAACUACAGUCUGUAGCCUUUGGUUGUGAAUGAACGAAUUUACAAAUAACGUUUAAUGGAGCUUCUUGAUAAAAUAAUAAUAAUAAAUUUGAUUAUUUCAUUCUAUCUCUAUUAAUUGAGAAGUGUGUGGCAGCUUUUCUGUUUAUAAAGCUGGAAAGUAUUUUUAUUUGGGGUAAUUUUUAGGGACCUCCCCUUAUGUUGGAGUAUUGACAGUUUGAUAGAAAGUAUUUACGCAAUUACAAGGAUCUCCUCUGACGUUAAUGCAAAAAUACGUAUGACGUAACUAUAAAGAGCAAAUACGUAAAAGUAAAUUUAAAAUUUAAACAAAAGUAAAAUUCAAACAAAACUUGCUUGGAUGUCUGAGAACUAGAGAUAUAGACUCAGUAUUACCCAGUUACUACUGUUACUCAACAGACAAAUGAAAAUGAAUUUUUUCAGAAAAUGCACUCCACUUCGAAAACAGAACUUACACAACAAAACCCAAUUUCAUUUUCAUCGUUGGAGAAGAAGCAAUCACUAAUCUAUUUUCAUCUAAUGCACGAGAUGACAUCAUGCGGUGGUCCCUUGAAGUGAGUAUCACCGACGACCAGUGUCUGUCACGACUAGAAUUAGAUCGCAAAAGAGUUUAGUCUUCGAAAUACAACUUGCUUCCUUGAAUCAGUGGCUUACGACUUUUGUUGAUUAAAAAUAACAAUGGGUCUGUUUCAAUUAAUGAAUAUGUUGCUGGAUGUUGUUUUUAUUUGGGGUUAUUGGUGUUGAGUUGAAAAAUAGUUGGGUAAUGACUGAUAAUAGCUAUUGCAUAAUGGUUUAAGAGCUUCGUAAAUAAUACAAGUAGUGUAUAAAUGAUGAGUUUCAGUUUGCUUUGUAAUGUGGCCACUCAGUUUCAGUUAUGUGUUAGUUUCAGUUUAUGCAUAUAUGUUCUGUUUCAAAAGAAGAAUGAGCAUAAGCAAAGGUGCCAAUGAAGAAUGGGCUGCUGGAGUUACAAUUGAAAUGCAAGUUAUGCAUCCCAAGAGGGGGGGUGAAUUGGGAUUUUAAAAUUAUGCAAUACAAUUCGCACAACAAUUUAAUCCAUUGCCUUAAUCAAAUCAAAAACAAUAAAUUCAAUCAAGCACAAUAUUAAAAGAGUAAGGGAAGAAAAAACAAACACAAGGAUUUUUAAGUGGUUCGACUAUCCCUGCCUACGUCCACGCCUCCAAGCACACCCGGCUUGAGGAUUUCACUAUCCAAGCCUCCCAAGACUUCAAAUGUUUACAAUUGACUUCCAAGGUGUCAAUGGACCUUUACAACAAGAGAUUAUCUCCACAAUCUCUUCACCCCAAGUAUUUCUCACACUUGUACACUCACAAUUUGAUGAGAAAUGAAAAUCACAACAAUGAAACUCUCUUUAAGAGUAGAUAACAAAUUAUAGCUCAAUGAUGAUUCAAUAAAUGAUGAUUUGCGAAAGGGAAGCUCAAUAUAUGUUAUAUGAUCUUGUUUUUCCUUAUAUUAGUUCUUAGAAUGAAGUUUGAGUUGAGUUUUUAUAGUUAAAGCCCGAAAAAUAGCCAUUAUAGGUAAAUUUCCGCGACCCAAGCAGUUAACCGCUUGAUUUAUCCGGCUAGCCGCUCAGGAACAGUGAUAUUAUCGUUAUUUUUGAAAUUACUACAGUAUCACUGUUUACUAAAAUUAUACUUUGGCCCAAAACUUUCUAUAAUUCUACUAUAGCCCAAAACGUCAUAAAACUUUACAAAUAAAUCCAAUUUCAGAAUUUCAUAAUAAUAGUUACCUUGCCAAAACUUUAUGAAAUUAUGCUAUGGCCCCAAAUUUAUUAUUUUUCAAAGAGGUCCUUUUUAACAUAAUAUCCAUAUUUUUCAAAGUUUUCAAAAUCUUUCACUUUAGUCCAAAAUAUUCAUAAAUUAUAGUAUGGCCCAAAAAUUUUCAAAUGGUUGUAAAAACGUCCAACUCCGAAAUUUAAUAAUAAUACUUAUUAAAAUCAAAGAUUUCAAAACUUAGCAUUUAAGUCUAAAUUACUCAAAACCACAAAGUACUUUAUCUUAUAAAAAUAAAACCUUUUAGUUUAUAAAAAGUAAUUAAUUAAAUUAAUCUCUUGAGCUUCUCAAAUGCUAAAUCAUGCAUCAAUUAAAUCAUACCGGCUUUACAAGAAUUUAUCGCACUAAUUUGUCCGUUGAGCUCUAAACUUUAUUCUUGAUUUCGCCGUUGUCCGUUGAGUGUCUUGAGCUUGAUUUCACUUGCAUAAAUAUUACCCUUCAAAAACUAGUGAAAAUGUGAAAUACAAUAUCUAUUAAAUCACUUAAUACAUAUGUUUGUUAUCAUCAAAAUUACAUUAUAUGUAGCCCUUUAGGCUAACAACAAUUUCUAUUCCUGCCAAUUAAUUUAAUUUCAAUUCAUUUUAUUAAGGAGGAUAUAUAUAUGGAUUUUGAUUUUUUGAAGGGAUGAGACUCUACUUUGUAAAUUAUGAGCAUUGGCCAUAUAGUGGGCAUGACUGGUACAAGCCAACUCUUAGAUAUUGUUUUGUUUUGUUUUUAUUUAUUUAUUUAGGAAUCAGUAUUCUAAUUAACAACACAAAAAUUUUGCUUUUUCAAAGGGGCUGCUAGAAUUUGGAUUUUUUGACAUGCCAACUAUGGGAAAGUGACUGUAAUGAUAAUAAUAAAACCAAGCAUGUAAUAAACUUGGCAUAAUGUAAUUGAGCUUCUUGUUCCAUAGCUUGUAAACGAAGCUUAUGCUCUGUAUUUUUAGCUGACAAAUUUGUUAUGUCCUCUAAUAAGAAAACAAGGUUUCAUAAGAACAAGCACGAAAACGACAUAUGCUAAAAAAAUAUGGAAAGUUUAUUUUUCUUUAAAUUGGAGAAUAAAAGUAAAAAGAUAGCUUAUGAAUUCAAUCAAUGAAUGGUUGACGUGCUGGAUGCAUUAGAGCUUUGAGAAUCCAUUACUUUCAUGCAGUGUUUCAGCUUGAUUUUUUUGAAUGAUUUUGUUGAUGAGUUGAACUGAAUGGGUGAUGAGUUUGAAAAAUUACAGCAUAAGAGUUUUUAAGAAUUCUUAAAAAGAAGAAGAAGAAGAAGAAAGUGUGCUAUUGUGAUUUAUUAAUCUUGCAAAAGGCUCUAGUUAUAGGAGCUGCUGCUGCUGAAAUUAUUACGUUUAUUUACAAUGGUGAUAGUGGCAGCACAAUGUCAAUUUUUUUUUUAGGUAUGCAAUGUAAUUUUUUUUAUCCAUUGGGUAUUUUGGUGUGAAUUUUAUUAUCCAUAAGUUUAUCAUAUGAAUAAAGAUAUAUUUUGACAGUAAGGGUAUUUUUGGAAUUUCAACAGUCAACUAACGGUUCACUUAAUAGAAUACUAACGUCAGGAGAGGUUCCUAUAAUUACGUGAAUACUUUCUAUCAGAUUUUCAAUACACUAAACUUUAGGGGAGGUCCCUAAAAAUUACCCUUUUAUUUGGCCGUGAUAUGGUCAAAUCAAACUGAGAGGACUUUUGACACCUCUCAUGGAAUUUUAUUUGAAUUGAAGUUAAUUAAUAACAACAGAUAAAUUAAUUUAUUUUAUGUUUUAAAUAAAAGAUCAAUUAAAUACUUAAAUAAUUAUUUUUAAUAAAAUUUACACUCAUCUUCUUGUUUUGGGGAGGAAAAUAUGAGAUUCUUAAUUAAAUAGGUGAUUGAUCACUGUGGGACUGUGGGAUAGAGAAACCACUUGCCGGCCACCUCAUGUACUUGUUUAUUUUUUAUUUUUCUUGUUUUUAAAAAUUAUAUUUAUUUUUUAAUGCUCACUACUGAUUAUUUUAUUUAAUUUAAAAUUUUUUAGCUUUUUGAAAGAUUAAAUACAACAAUAAGCCUGUAACUAAAUAAUAUUAAAUGAAAUGAGAAUAAAUAAUAUUAAUUAAUAUUUUUUAAUAAAUAAAUGAUAUAAAAAAUUAAUUUUUAAAUAAAAUAUAAAAUAUUAAAAUAAAAUUUAUGUUUUAAGACUCGCUACUAAUUAAACAACAUAAAAUUUUAAACAAUUUGGACGUAUGUGCUAAAUGUUUAAUUCUUUAGCUCUUUUGCGCUUUUGAUAAAUAGCAGGGAGCAUAAUAUUAACAUUCAAAUAAAUGAAUCUCUACCCUUAAAUCUACCUUUUCAUUGAAUCCAUACCAAUAAUUAAAACCACAAAAAAAUAAAAUAAUGGUACCUUGCAAUUGUUGCAAGGUAGUUGAGUCCGAUUAAUUAAUACAACUUUGCAAAAGUGGAUCCUGCAUUUUUAUUGAAGUCUGUAUAUAUAGAAUGCUUUUCCUUCACUUUAUUAAAGUGUGAAAACACUUUUUAGAAUAUUGUAAAACUUUAGCUAUAAUGUUGAAUUAGUCAUUAUGGCGCUUUAAUAAAAUACUGGAACCCUUACCUAAUAAUUUUUUUGUGUGUAUGUAUGAGUGUAUAUUUAUACAUACAUACAAACAUAUCUAUAUAUAUAUUUUUUGAUGGAAUGGAUGAGAAAUCUCAUCCAUUAUAUAUAUAUAUAUUUUGAUGGAAUGGAUGAGAAAUCUCAUCCACAAAACAUGAACUGAUACUUUUAUUAUUAUCAUGUUACUAAUGCAAUGCACUAUAAGGAAAUUAACACUUUUUUUUUUUUUUGAAUACUGAUUAAUCAUCAUAUUACUGCAUUAUACAGAUAUUUACAACUGCUAUUAUAGCAGAUAUAUUACACUGAUAUUUACAAUCAGAAAUACAUGAUUGGGACUUAUAUUAUUACAUUGAAUUCUGUGAAGUACAUGCCCAGACAAAUAAUCCCUUACAGAAGAGGGAUGUCCAUACUCCACUCGUAUUGCACGAGGGAGAGGAAAUUUUUGAAAUAUUAAACAAAUAAGCACGUUAGCCCCCACAAAUGCUUUUGUGGGGGCUUGAACCGCUGCCCUCACAAGCAGCCCACCACUCCGACCAAGGCCGAAGUGGCAAAUUAACACUUUCUUGAACAUUAAAACACGUGUAAUUUUUUAAUAAACAAUAUGCCUGUUAAUAUGAAUUGACAUCUACAACUUAAAAUAGAUAUCUAAUACAAUGUAACUUUAUGAUGAGACUAGAUGACAUGCUCUAGUCCAACCGACCUGUGAAUGCGAAGUUUAGAUAUAUACCCCUAAAGGAGUAACGAAAAGAAAAAGAUCUUAUCAUCCAAAUGUAUUUUAUAAACUAUCUAGUGAGAAAUUACAACUCUAUUUAUUGUAGACCAAUUAGAAUUACUACUCAAAUAAGAGAAAUAUCCUCAAUCACAACAGAAAUAACAAAUUUGAUUCAAAUAAAAUUACUAAUUUAGACAAAGUUGAAUACAACCAUAAAACGAAAUUAACAUAAAAAUACAUCAAUACUUAGAUCUAGCACUCCAACAUUGUGAAAAGAUCUCAUAAAACAACUUCUUGAAGAGCUGCAUGUGUUGGGUUUGCAAGUUUACAACUGCAUAUAAGCUCCCAUCAUUGCUUGGACUUGGAAAAAUAUGUAUGGUCCCAUCUAUAGGGGUAAGCGUCCUUGCAAACAUUGGUCUUCCCCACCCAAAAUUUACAUAAAAAACAGGCAUAUGAAACACAUUGGAAAUAUUGAGGUUAGGACACUUAAAAGUGUGUGCUCCUCGUUUUAAAACUGUUAGAUCAGGUUGUUGGCUUAGGUAUGCAAGAGCUGAUUUCAAAUAUUCAUCGUCCAUCCGCAUUGUUGCUUCACGAAUUCUUUCUGUGGUAGAACUUGACGGUUCUGAUAUGAUAUCACCAGAUAAGCCAAUUGUUGUACCAGUGAAAGUUACAUUACCAAAAUACCCAGAUGGGAGCGGCGGAUCCAAUCUAGACCGUCCAUUUAUUGGAAUAUAUAAUUUACUCACUUGUUCAUUAGAAAGUCUACGUGCUUUACAUAAGCAACGCCAUAUAUGUGCAGCUAGUAUCUCAAACCUGGUGAACUUAAUUGGGGUUCCAUUGUCUUGCUUUGAUUUUGCCUUAAGUGUGUUGAUUUGAUCAACUGAUAUAUUAAAUAUAGCAGAGGAAAUGGAUUUAGGAUUUGCUUGGAGUUCUAUAUUUUGAGUAGGGACAUUCAUAGAAGGAGGUGGGUCGUAUUCUAUGUGAUGAAAUUUAGGAGAAGUUGGGAGCCCAAUACCUAGUAACGCUCGAUCAAUGAAUGGCGGAUUACUAAUAGGGACACCACGUGUGACCUCAGCCCAUGCAUUGAUGAAGUAGAUCAUUGAAGUUGCAUCAGCUAAUGUAUGGUGCAUUGCGACUGUAAGACAAACUCCUCCACACUUGAAAUGAGUUACCUAGUAGUAAAACAAAAUAUGUCAAUAACUAAGCAGACAAAAAAGGAGAAUAAAUUAUAGAAAUAUCUUGAUUCAUUCAUUCAUUCAUUUUCACAUAUAUACUUUAAUCAAUUGAGGUAAAUUGAUACACACGGGGCAAAUAUUGGAUGAUGGAUGGGCAGUGCCACAAGAGCACUAAAGACUCUCUUAAAUCAUCUACCUGGGUUAUUAGUAAUGGAUAAGAAGAUAUGUCUUUUGUGUAUUCAACCGAUGGAACGAGUUUCUGAAGCUCGAAGCUUGAUUCAAAGUCACCCAAAUCAUCAAGAACGUAACUUGUUUCAGCCUCCACAAACAAAACACCCUGUCCAUUACAUUUUAUCUCAAUUCUGCCAUUUUGAUCCCUUCCCAAUCUCCCAGCCACUGGGUAAAAUGGCACGAGAACUUUGCUUAACCCUUCCUUCAGCAGACCAGCUCCAAAGAAAUUAUUCGAAUCAUUUGGCUGCCUCUGCCUGAAGAAAUACAAGAAGGGGAUGUGAGCUGCCCGCGUCAAUAGGUCCAGUACAGAACUUUGUAGGCAAUGCUUUGGCGUCUCGUGGGCAGGGUGUAUCGUCGUUGACUUUUUUAUUUGAAUUUCCAUUGUAUCAGAAAGAAUUAUGCCAAUGAGAUCACCACCUGU